UUAAUAUAUGCGUGAGUCAUUGGGCGUUACGAAAUCUCAAGGUGUAUUGAAAGUAAAGGUUUGGCUUGUCUGAGCUAAGGUAAUAUCCUGUUUUUUGCUUAUAAAUUCCCAAAAUACGAGCCAUAGGCACAUCAGCAGCCUGUCUCAUGACAUAGAGAAGUGGAAUCGCGCUAUAUGCGACGUCGGGGUGGAGCAAGAGGGUACACACUGAUAUCUGAAAGAUGGUGAACCAUGCUUGCAAAGGUUGAGGUCAGAUAAAAGUCUGGUGGAGAGCUGUAGUGGUUCUGACGUGUGGAUCGAUCAUGCUACCAUCUGAAGGGUUAAGAGUGAACGCCUCUAAAUCUGA
This 346-nucleotide non-coding RNA is filed under the name Trichobilharzia regenti. Its description in RNAcentral is "Eukaryotic large subunit ribosomal RNA". It matches the Rfam family "Eukaryotic large subunit ribosomal RNA", at positions 675 to 939 of the family's 3401-position model. The record is from Rfam by way of RNAcentral. Lineage: Eukaryota; Metazoa; Platyhelminthes; Trematoda; Strigeidida; Schistosomatidae.